UACAGAGCCCUCAAACGUUGUCCGGAUUCAUUGGGCGUAAAGCGUCCGCAGGUGGCCUGGCAAGUCGAUGGUCAAAUCCCGGUGCUUAACAUCAGGACUGCUGUCGAUACUGCACGGCUUGAGGUUGGGAGAGGCGAGCGGAACGAACGGUGUAGUCGUAAUAAGCGCUGAUAUCGUUCGGAACACCAGAGGCGAAGGCGGCUCGCUGGAACAAACCUGACACUCAUGGACGAAAGCGUGGGGAGCGAAAGGG
Molecule: unclassified non-coding RNA, 253 nt
Filed under: Patescibacteria group bacterium
Lineage: Bacteria
Description: contains 16S-23S intergenic spacer region
Rfam family: Bacterial small subunit ribosomal RNA
Source: RNAcentral